This 908-nucleotide ribosomal RNA is filed under the name Staphylococcus aureus. Its description in RNAcentral is "partial 23S ribosomal RNA". It matches the Rfam family "Bacterial large subunit ribosomal RNA", at positions 537 to 1452 of the family's 2925-position model. Lineage: Bacteria; Bacillati; Bacillota; Bacilli; Caryophanales; Staphylococcaceae. The record is from RNAcentral.
AGUGAAACAGAACCUGAAACCGUGUGCUUACAAGUAGUCAGAGCCCGUUAAUGGGUGAUGGCGUGCCUUUUGUAGAAUGAACCGGCGAGUUACGAUUUGAUGCAAGGUUAAGCAGUAAAUGUGGAGCCGUAGCGAAAGCGAGUCUGAAUAGGGCGUUUAGUAUUUGGUCGUAGACCCGAAACCAGGUGAUCUACCCUUGGUCAGGUUGAAGUUCAGGUAACACUGAAUGGAGGACCGAACCGACUUACGUUGAAAAGUGAGCGGAUGAACUGAGGGUAGCGGAGAAAUUCCAAUCGAACCUGGAGAUAGCUGGUUCUCUCCGAAAUAGCUUUAGGGCUAGCCUCAAGUGAUGAUUAUUGGAGGUAGAGCACUGUUUGGACGAGGGGCCCCUCUCGGGUUACCGAAUUCAGACAAACUCCGAAUGCCAAUUAAUUUAACUUGGGAGUCAGAACAUGGGUGAUAAGGUCCGUGUUCGAAAGGGAAACAGCCCAGACCACCAGCUAAGGUCCCAAAAUAUAUGUUAAGUGGAAAAGGAUGUGGCGUUGCCCAGACAACUAGGAUGUUGGCUUAGAAGCAGCCAUCAUUUAAAGAGUGCGUAAUAGCUCACUAGUCGAGUGACACUGCGCCGAAAAUGUACCGGGGCUAAACAUAUUACCGAAGCUGUGGAUUGUCCUUUGGACAAUGGUAGGAGAGCGUUCUAAGGGCGUUGAAGCAUGAUCGUAAGGACAUGUGGAGCGCUUAGAAGUGAGAAUGCCGGUGUGAGUAGCGAAAGACGGGUGAGAAUCCCGUCCACCGAUUGACUAAGGUUUCCAGAGGAAGGCUCGUCCGCUCUGGGUUAGUCGGGUCCUAAGCUGAGGCCGACAGGCGUAGGCGAUGGAUAACAGGUUGAUAUUCCUGUACCACCUAUA